UACAGAGGUCCCAAGCGUUGUUCGGAUUCACUGGGCGUAAAGGGUGCGUAGGUGGUCGGGUGAGUCUGAUGUGAAAUCUCCGAGCUUAACUCGGAAACUGCAUCGGAUACUAUCCGGCUUGAGGAAUGGAGGGGAGAUUGGAAUUCUCGGUGUAGCAGUGAAAUGCGUAGAUAUCGAGAGGAACACCAGUGGCGAAGGCGGCCAGCUGGGCCGUCCCUGACGCUGAGGCGCGAAGGCGUGGGGAGCGAACGGG
This 253-nucleotide ribosomal RNA is filed under the name uncultured bacterium. RNAcentral's name for it is "partial 16S ribosomal RNA". It matches the Rfam family "Bacterial small subunit ribosomal RNA", at positions 524 to 776 of the family's 1533-position model. The record is from RNAcentral.